Molecule: ribosomal RNA, 433 nt
Filed under: uncultured bacterium
Lineage: Bacteria
Description: partial 16S ribosomal RNA
Rfam family: Bacterial small subunit ribosomal RNA
Source: RNAcentral
AACGAACGCUGGCGGCGUGCCUAACACAUGCAAGUCGAACGGAACCUUCGGGCUUAGUGGCGCACGGGUGCGUACCGACUGGGAAUCUACACCUUACUUCGGAGUCCCAGUUAUAAGUGACUCCUAAUACAAGAUGGAGUCUUCGGGGAAAAGAUGUAUCGGCAAGGGGUGGGCCCGGGUAAGAUUCGGCGGUUGGUGGGGUAAAGGCCUACCAAGCCGCCGAUCCUUGGCUGGUCUGAGAGGAGGCUCCGCAACGAUGGGAAUGAGACCCGGACCAGAGGCCUACGGGAGGCAGCAGUGGGGAACAUUGGACAAUGAACGCAAGUCUGAUCCAGCAAUGCCGCGUGAGUGAUGAAGGCCGUAGGGUUGUAAAGCUCUUUUACCAGGGAUGAUAAUGACAGUACCUGGAGAAUAAGCUCCGGCUAACUCCGUG